CUACGGAAAAUGGCUCCUCCCUGCGGCCGCCGCCGCUCCAGCGGCUCCAGGGUCGAAGCCAUAGGGGAAGCCGCUUCUCGGUUACCUCGGCCAGCUUGGCUUCCGUGGAGGCCGCUCCUCGCUUUCUGAGGCUCAAACGCAAGCCACCGCCCGGAAGGCCGCCGAUCUGAGGAGCGCAACCGCCAGCCCACCGCUGGCCUGCCGCUGCCCUACCGCUGCCCUGUCCAGCACCUGGAAUGGAUAAAAGUGGCAGUUUUUGUUUCUUCCCAUGAGGUUGUGUAUCUGGACUGAGAACCAGGAAAUUAAUCUAGACUAAGACAUUUCUAAGGACCUGGAAUGGCUUUGGGGAGCACCAGGAGGACCUGAAAAGAGUAUUUGAGGGCCUAGAGGGACAGAAGAGUUUGCCAGUAGGAUUUAUGAGAAACAAUUGAUUAGAAACAGCAGCAGAGAAACCUUUUAGAUUUCUUCUGUGGAAAAGUUGAGUCUUGGUUCAAAUUAAGUAAAAUAAACACCGAAGAGAAAUCAAAGUCUCAAAUAUAAAAAGUAUGUAACUUAUAGUGUAAGUUUAGGAAAACAAAUGAAAGGACAGAU
Molecule: small RNA, 591 nt
Filed under: Pan troglodytes (chimpanzee)
Lineage: Eukaryota; Metazoa; Chordata; Mammalia; Primates; Hominidae
Description: processed transcript
Source: RNAcentral